AAACAAACCAGGGAAGCACGAGGUAGCACAAGAGAACAUGAGUGUAACAAGAAUGAAGACCCGACAAAGAACACUGGGGCAGACAGGGAUAUAUACACACAGACACUAAACGAGGGAACAAGACACAGCUGGGGAAGAAAGGCAAAAACACAAGGGCAAGGUGAAUGGACACAGCAGAAACAAAUUAACACAGAGGGAGGAAAAAUCAGGAACAAACAUGGCUCAGUAGGCCAGGCUGGAGGCAGGCUCGGGAGGCCGGCGGAGAGGCCGGUGUGGAGGCCGGCGAAGCCGCUCGGGAGGUCGGGCUGGCGGCCGGCAGAGUCGGGGGGAACACUGGAACUGGGGUCUCGACAGUCGGGGGGGAACACUGGAACUGGGGUCUCGACAGUCGGGGGGAACACUGGAACUGGGGUCUCGACAGUCGGGGGGAACACGGGAACUGGGGUCUCGACAGUCGGGGGGGAACACUGGAACUGGGGUCUCGACAGUCGGGGGGAACACUGGAACUGGGGUCUCGACAGUCGGGGGGAACACUGGAACUGGGGUCUCGACAGUCGGGGGGAACACGGGAACUGGGGUCUCGACAGUCGGGGGGAACACGGGGGUCUCGAGAGUGAGGGGGAACACGGGGGUCUCGAGAGUGAGGGGGAACACGGGGGUCUCGAGAGUGAGGGGGAACACGGGGGUCUCGAGAGUGAGGGGGAACACGGGGGUCUCGAGAGUGAGGGGGAACACGGGGGUCUCGACAGUCGAGGGGAACGCAGGGACUGGGGUCUCGAGGGGCACGCAGGGACUGGGGUCUCGAAGUUGGGGUCUCAAAAGGCAGCAGGGGGACAGCUGGGGUCUCGAAAGGCAGCUAUGGAACCAGCAGGGGUCAGCAGAGUUCCGGCAGCAGCUGGAACUGGGGACUGCCGCGGCCUGGCAGCAGGAGGUGGAGCGGGAGGAUCGGCGGAGUUAGGCUGGCAAAGUGGGGAGUCUACAAAGUCCUGGAUCCAUUCGGGCAAAAGGUUCUUCAGCUAGGGCUUCUUAGCUACUUUCUCCUAAGCCAUACCUAGCUCAGUCUGUUCCAACAGAAUGCUCCAACACACCACAAAAGGAAUGACUAAAGUGUCUGCCAGAUAAAAAAAGCUCAUUGUCCAUGACGUCUACUGGGUCCAUAGCUGGUCGGUUCGUACUGUUGCGACUUGGUGAAAAGGUGGAUUCAAAUGCAGAUCGCCAGAUGAGGUUUAACAAAAGGAGAGCUUUAUUUAACAAAGCUAAUCAAAUACAAAACAAAGUAACAAGUAAAACUGAAAACACAAACCAGGGAAGACACAAGGUAGCACGAG
Molecule: long non-coding RNA, 1328 nt
Filed under: Cottoperca gobio
Lineage: Eukaryota; Metazoa; Chordata; Actinopteri; Perciformes; Bovichtidae
Description: lncRNA (ENSCGOG00000016849.1)
Source: RNAcentral